This 465-nucleotide ribosomal RNA is filed under the name uncultured bacterium. Its description in RNAcentral is "partial 16S ribosomal RNA". It matches the Rfam family "Bacterial small subunit ribosomal RNA", at positions 339 to 795 of the family's 1533-position model. The record is from RNAcentral.
CUACGGGCCGCUCCAGUGGGGAAUAUUGCACAAUGGGCGCAAGCCUGAUGCAGCCAUGCCGCGUGUAUGAAGAAGGCCUUCGGGUUGUAAAGUACUUUCAGCGGGGAGGAAGGGAGUAAAGUUAAUACCUUUGCUCAUUGACGUUACCCGCAGAAGAAGCACCGGCUAACUCCGUGCCAGCAGCCGCGGUAAUACGGAGGGUGGCAAGCGUUAAUCGGAAUUACUGGGCGUAAAGCGCACGCAGGCGGUUUGUUAAGUCAGAUGUGAAAUCCCCGGGCUCAACCUGGGAACUGCAUCUGAUACUGGCAAGCUUGAGUCUCGUAGAGGGGGGUAGAAUUCCAGGUGUAGCGGUGAAAUGCGUAGAGAUCUGGAGGAAUACCGGUGGCGAAGGCGGCCCCCUGGACGAAGACUGACGCUCAGGUGCGAAAGCGUGGGGAGCAAACAGGAUUAGAUACCCGCGUAGUC